RNAcentral lists this long non-coding RNA (2059 nucleotides) under Pelobates cultripes (western spadefoot toad). The record is from RNAcentral. Lineage: Eukaryota; Metazoa; Chordata; Amphibia; Anura; Pelobatidae.
GGUAUUGAAGAAUUGUUCAUCAUGUCAGAGUCUUUUUCCAGAACUUGCCAUUGACUUGUACUCAUAAUGGCAUUCAAGGAACAAUAUCAGAGGGAGUAUAACAACUCCAGAAAGCAUAGCACACAACAUAAUCUUGGUCUCAGGUACGUAUGAUCCUCUCAAUCUACGAUAUGGUGUAAAAGCCAUGAUGCUUCGCUGAGGAGAAAUUCUUCUGUUUCCGAGCGAGGAGUGGUGUUGUCUUCCUUGGUUCCCCUCUUUGGACACAGCUUCACUCGGGAUGCGUGAAUCCAGAUGUCGUGGGAAUCUGUGAGGACAGCGGUUCUGGGUACAGCAAUCACAGUAGCAGGUGGUCCAAAAGGGUAUCCUCCUUUCUUGGUCCUGUUCAACUGACGGAUAUACACCUUGUCACCGGGCUGGUAUGAAUGAGUAGGUUCCUGUGAAGGUAAGGGAAAACUGCGAAGAAACAUUGUCAUACAUACCAUUCGGUUUUAUCAACAAUUCACCUUGUGGGGAUAUAUUCUUAUCUCAGCUAAAAUAGCUGGUAGAUAUCUAGUCCAAUUUACCCAUGUUCCUGGGUAAAUUCUGGGCUUUUCCUUAAUAGUCCUAUUCAUCCUUUCAACUACCCCUGUAUUCUGUGGAUGAUAGGGUAUAUGAAACUGCCAGGUAACUUGCAAGAAUUUAGCAAGUUCCUGGGCAACCUUACUGGCAAAAACCGGGCCAUUAUCAGAGCCAAUCUGGAGAGGGCAGCCAUACCUGGGAAUAAUUUCAGUAACAAUAAUCUUCACUAGAAUCUUCCCUAGAUAUCACAAAGGCCUCAUGCCAUCUACUAAACUGAUUAACUAUGACCAGUAAGUAUUGCUGUUUCUUACCAAUUUUGGAUACAUGAAUAAAAUCAAUCUGUAAGUGUGUAAAAAGAGCAGCGUUCACACGAUCUUACAAAAGACUGUACAUGCUGCCUGAGAUUCCUAAUAUAAAAUGAAUUCAUGAGGAAUUGAAUGGUGCUUGCUAUGUGCCUGACUGAUGAAAAUAAAUCAGCUUGCUUCAAGUAUGCCUAUUCUUCAAGUAUGCCUAUUCUCCCCUCUUUAGAGAACAGAUCAUUUUGAUCUUUCUCUAAACCUUGUUUAAUCCAAAAGACAGAUUCUGGGUAUUAAAAAAAGAAUCUCAUAACCACUGAAGCGCUGGGCUGUCAUGUGUUGUAUGGUGAUAUUUAUUAUCAGCUGAGUGACCUGGUGACUGGCAUGAAGUAUUGUAGGAUGCCCUAGUGUGAUAGUAGUAGCAGUUUCAACAGCCAUUGCACAUGCUAUCAAUGCUCUGAGACACGCCGGCAUACCCUGUACCGGAGCUUGAACUACUUUGGAAAAGAAUGCUAUGGGACGCAUACCGCCUCCUUGCUCUUGUGCACAGACCGCGGCCAUGGUUUUACAAUUGUCCCAAGCAUACAAAUGAAAUGGUUUACAAUACACAGGUAGUCCUAAAGCCUGGGCUUGCACAAUAACAACUGUAAGGGCAAUAUAUGCAGCUAGCAUGUCUGGUGACCAGCAGACAUUUUCAGGGCUGUCAGAACGUACAGCCUCCCUUAGGAUUGAGUCAUAAUGGGAGCAUUCAGGGAUCCAUGGUGGCAGUAAUUAAUCAUGCCGAGGAAGGUGAGCAACUCCUUCCGAAUAGUGGGUGUAGGAAUCCUCUGAAUGACCUCAAUACGUUUUGGACUCAAUUGUCUGGUGCCUAAAGCCAGAACAAAACCUAAGUAUUCAACCUUUGAUUUACACAAUUGCAUUUUGUGUUUAACAACCUUGUGACCUACAGUUGCUGACAGUAUCCACAGUGCUUGCCUCAUAGCUAGGGCUACAUAACAACAAAUCAUCAACAUUUUGCAAAAAGGACGGAACCAUGACCGGUGGUCCAUGUUUUUUAGAGUAUGUUGGAGUACCAACGAAUAAACAGCUGGGGAAUCCACAUAGCCUUGGGUAAGCGUGUCCAGGUAAACUGACAGCCUUCAAAAAGUAAAAACCAUAAGUAGCUGUGUCUCUUGAUCAAUAGGUAUAGAAAAAAUGCAUUACUU